AGGUGCGCGCGUUCGAUAAGAAUUGUUCGCUUUACACAGCUUUUAUUAGGCAUGGAUAGUUGUAUGCGUUGAUUUAUGUUUUAUUGACAAUUGUCUCCGAGGGAAUUUGUUUAUGGCCCUCAAGGUUACAAGGUCAAACUCUCACUACUGAUCUGACAUCUUAAGGACGAGAGUGACAUGUUCAUUGUUGUUGCAAUUAUAUUCUUUGUAUAUUUUUAGGUUUUUCCUGGAGCAUGGACUGCAAUACUAGUAUCUCUCGACAAUGUCGGAACAUGGAACCUGCGAGCCGAAAACCUAGACAGGUGGUACCUAGGCCAAGAAACUUAUCUGAGGAUUGUCAAUCCCGAAGAAAACGGCGAGACAGAAACUAGCGAACCCUCUAAUGUUUUAUUUUGUGGUCCUCUCCAACAUUUACAAAAGUAACGAACGGCUCAUGCUUUCAUCGACAUUGUUUUAGUCCUUUCUUUGUCCACUUAAAAAUAAAAUUUGUGAUGUUUUUUAUGAAUAAAUUAUGUAAUUUAAAAUUUUAUCGUAACUUAAAAUUUUAUCGUAAUUUAAAAUUUAUAAUUAUGUAUUUUUAUGAAUUAUAUUAAUUAUAUAUAUAUAUUACUUUUGUUAUUUCAAUAAAAAUUGAAAUAAUUUUUUUUUUAAAAAAAAACUUUAGGAAAUCGGCAUUUCGAACUUGAACUUUCUAAAAUUUUAUCGUAAUUUAAAAUUUCUAUUUAUCUAUUUUUAUGAAUUAUAUUAAUUAUAUAUAUAUAUUACUUUUGUUAUUUCAAUAAAAAUUGAAAUAAUUUUUUUUUAUGUCAAGGAUCAUGUUGGGUAAUAUGAGUAGUGUUGAAACAAUACUAGUAUCUCUCGACAAUGUCGGAACAUGGAACCUGCGAGCCGAAAACCUAGACAGGUGGUACCUAGGCCAAGAAACUUAUCUGAGGAUUGUCAAUCCCGAAGAAAACGGCGAGACAGAAACUAGCGAACCCUCUAAUGUUUUAUUUUGUGGUCCUCUCCAACAUUUACAAAAGUAACGAACGGCUCAUGCUUUCAUCGACAUUGUUUUAGUCCUUUCUUUGUCUUCUCUUUUGUUAAACUGUCUUUCUUUACACCUGCAG
Molecule: long non-coding RNA, 1109 nt
Filed under: Cicer arietinum (chickpea)
Lineage: Eukaryota; Viridiplantae; Streptophyta; Magnoliopsida; Fabales; Fabaceae
Description: long non-coding RNA (CARI_LNC001402)
Source: RNAcentral